GAACUGUUGAGGAGUCCUACAAUAGGACGAAAUGGUCAUCCAGUGC
RNAcentral lists this non-coding RNA (46 nucleotides) under Schistosoma margrebowiei. Lineage: Eukaryota; Metazoa; Platyhelminthes; Trematoda; Strigeidida; Schistosomatidae. The record is from RNAcentral.